GACGAACGCUGGCGGCGUGCUUAACACAUGCAAGUCGAACGGAAAGGCCCUGCUUUUGUGGGGUGCUCGAGUGGCGAACGGGUGAGUAACACGUGAGUAACCUGCCCUUGACUUUGGGAUAACUUCAGGAAACUGGGGCUAAUACCGUAUAGGAGCUCCUGCUGCAUGGUGGGGGUUGGAAAGUUUCGGCGGUUGGGGAUGGACUCGCGGCUUAUCAGCUUGUUGGUGGGGUAGUGGCUUACCAAGGCUUUGACGGGUAGCCGGCCUGAGAGGGUGACCGGCCACAUUGGGACUGAGAUACGGCCCAGACUCCUACGGGAGGCAGCAGGGGGGAAUAUGGCACAAUGGGCGGAAGCCUGAUGCAGAAACGCCGCGUGCGGGAUGACGGCCUUCGGGUUGUAAACCGCUUUCGCCUGUGACGAAGCGUGAGUGACGGUAAUGGGUAAAGAAGCACCGGCUAACUACGUG
RNAcentral lists this ribosomal RNA (468 nucleotides) under uncultured bacterium. RNAcentral's name for it is "partial 16S ribosomal RNA". It matches the Rfam family "Bacterial small subunit ribosomal RNA", at positions 28 to 507 of the family's 1533-position model. The record is from RNAcentral.